Molecule: long non-coding RNA, 217 nt
Organism: Sinocyclocheilus rhinocerous
Lineage: Eukaryota; Metazoa; Chordata; Actinopteri; Cypriniformes; Cyprinidae
Exons: 3
Source: RefSeq, a predicted model, not a curated record
AUUUGCUCUGUUUCCACCUCCUUUAGCUUUCCAAAACAUGAAUUCCAAACGGAAAGCAGAAACAUGGAAGAAGAACCGAAGACAGCUGGCAUAUUCAACCGUCGGGACACCAGACUAUAUCGCCCCUGAGGUCUUCAUGCAGACGGGCUACAACAAGCUUUGUGACUGGUGGUCUCUUGGAGUGAUAAUGUACGAGAUGUUGAUAGGCUACCCACCC